ACCGUGAUAAUAAGCACCGGCUAACUACGUGCCAGCAGCCGCGGUAAUACGUAGGGUGCGAGCGUUAAUCGGAAUUACUGGGCGUAAAGCGUGCGCAGGCGGUUUUGUAAGUCAGAUGUGAAAUCCCCGAGCUCAACUUGGGAACUGCGUUUGCAACUGCAAGACUAGAAUAUGUCAGAGGGGGGUAGAAUUCUACGUUUAGCAGUGAAAUGCGUAGANAUGUGGAGGAAUACCCAUGGCGAAGGCAGCUCCCUGGAAUAAUAGUGACGCUCAUGCACGAAAGCGUGGGGAGCAAACAGGAUUAGAUACCCUGGUAGUCCACGCCCUAAACGAUUUCUACU
This 341-nucleotide ribosomal RNA is filed under the name uncultured Methylotenera sp. Its description in RNAcentral is "bacterial SSU rRNA". It matches the Rfam family "Bacterial small subunit ribosomal RNA", at positions 477 to 817 of the family's 1533-position model. Lineage: Bacteria; Pseudomonadati; Pseudomonadota; Betaproteobacteria; Nitrosomonadales; Methylophilaceae. The record is from RNAcentral.